CAAAACAUGUGGCACAGAGACAAAAUUCGUUGUUGUAAAAGGAAAAAUCAAUUCUCCACCAUUAAUUAGUAAAUCCACUCUGAUUGAGCUAGGGAUGAUACAGAUAAGAAGUGAUGGUUCUUUUGUAAAGAAAAACCAAUUGAGAAUACCAGACAGUGGACCAAUUUUCAAAUCUGAGAAACAUUACCAAAUCACAUCAGGAUGCAAAAUAGCCAAUAAAGAAGUUAACCUAUUAAGAAAACCCAUCAACAAAACACAGCAGAUAACAGAGUUAAAAAAGAAAAAUACAAAAACAUCUAAGGAGCAGAAGAUUCGUAGAAGAUAUCAAUCAAACUUAUUUCAGGAGAUAAAUAAAAGAGACAGACAACCCAAGGAGAAAAUCAAAGGGUAUGUUGAAAAUAGAAACAAGAUGAAGAAAAUGGGCCCCCGCAAGACAGGCGCGGGAGGGGGCGGAUAAAGAGAACUUUGGAAAACAGAGACAAACGUCAGGAAACCAGGACUGAAACAUAAAGCGGAAG
Molecule: long non-coding RNA, 518 nt
Filed under: Mytilus galloprovincialis (Mediterranean mussel)
Lineage: Eukaryota; Metazoa; Mollusca; Bivalvia; Mytilida; Mytilidae
Source: RNAcentral